GACGAACGCUGGCGGCGUGCUUAACACAUGCAAGUCGAACGGUGAAGCCCUUCGGGGUGGAUCAGUGGCGAACGGGUGAGUAACACGUGAGCAACCUGCCCCUGGCUCUGGGACAACCACUGGAAACGGUGGCUAAUACCGGAUACGACCCGCCUCGGCAUCGAGUGUGGGUGGAAAGUUUUUCGGCUGGGGAUGGGCUCGCGGCCUAUCAGCUUGUUGGUGAGGUGAAGGGUCACCAAGGCGACGACGGGUUGCCGGCCUGAGAGGGCGACCGGCCACACUGGGACUGAGACACGGCCCAGACUCCUACGGGAGGCAGCAGUGGGGAAUAUUGCACAAUGGGCGAAAGCCUGAUGCAGCGACGCCGCGUGAGGGAUGACGGCCUUCGGGUUGUAAACCUCUUUCAGCUCCGAAGAAGCGAAAGUGACGGUAGGAGCAGAAGAAGCACCGGCUAACUACGUG
Molecule: ribosomal RNA, 462 nt
Filed under: uncultured bacterium
Lineage: Bacteria
Description: partial 16S ribosomal RNA
Rfam family: Bacterial small subunit ribosomal RNA
Source: RNAcentral